RNAcentral lists this ribosomal RNA (1521 nucleotides) under Salmonella enterica. Its description in RNAcentral is "partial 23S ribosomal RNA". It matches the Rfam family "Bacterial large subunit ribosomal RNA", at positions 1273 to 2777 of the family's 2925-position model. Lineage: Bacteria; Pseudomonadati; Pseudomonadota; Gammaproteobacteria; Enterobacterales; Enterobacteriaceae. The record is from RNAcentral.
CUGGAGGUAUCAGAAGUGCGAAUGCUGACAUAAGUAACGAUAAAGCGGGUGAAAAGCCCGCUCGCCGGAAGACCAAGGGUUCCUGUCCAACGUUAAUCGGGGCAGGGUGAGUCGACCCCUAAGGCGAGGCCGAAAGGCGUAGUCGAUGGGAAACGGGUUAAUAUUCCCGUACUUGGUGUUACUGCGAAGGGGGGACGGAGAAGGCUAUGUUGGCCGGGCGACGGUUGUCCCGGUUUAAGCGUGUAGGUGUGUGUUCCAGGUAAAUCCGGUUCACUUUAACACUGAGGCGUGAUGACGAGGCACUACGGUGCUGAAGCAACAAAUGCCCUGCUUCCAGGAAAAGCCUCUAAGCAUCAGGUAACAUCAAAUCGUACCCCAAACCGACACAGGUGGUCAGGUAGAGAAUACCAAGGCGCUUGAGAGAACUCGGGUGAAGGAACUAGGCAAAAUGGUGCCGUAACUUCGGGAGAAGGCACGCUGACACGUAGGUGAAGUGAUUUACUCAUGGAGCUGAAGUCAGUCGAAGAUACCAGCUGGCUGCAACUGUUUAUUAAAAACACAGCACUGUGCAAACACGAAAGUGGACGUAUACGGUGUGACGCCUGCCCGGUGCCGGAAGGUUAAUUGAUGGGGUCAGCGCAAGCGAAGCUCCUGAUCGAAGCCCCGGUAAACGGCGGCCGUAACUAUAACGGUCCUAAGGUAGCGAAAUUCCUUGUCGGGUAAGUUCCGACCUGCACGAAUGGCGUAAUGAUGGCCAGGCUGUCUCCACCCGAGACUCAGUGAAAUUGAACUCGCUGUGAAGAUGCAGUGUACCCGCGGCAAGACGGAAAGACCCCGUGAACCUUUACUAUAGCUUGACACUGAACAUUGAGCCUUGAUGUGUAGGAUAGGUGGGAGGCUUUGAAGUGUGGACGCCAGUCUGCAUGGAGCCGGCCUUGAAAUACCACCCUUUAAUGUUUGAUGUUCUAACGUGGACCCGUGAUCCGGGUUGCGGACAGUGUCUGGUGGGUAGUUUGACUGGGGCGGUCUCCUCCUAAAGAGUAACGGAGGAGCACGAAGGUUGGCUAAUCCUGGUCGGACAUCAGGAGGUUAGUGCAAUGGCAUAAGCCAGCUUGACUGCGAGCGUGACGGCGCGAGCAGGUGCGAAAGCAGGUCAUAGUGAUCCGGUGGUUCUGAAUGGAAGGGCCAUCGCUCAACGGAUAAAAGGUACUCCGGGGAUAACAGGCUGAUACCGCCCAAGAGUUCAUAUCGACGGCGGUGUUUGGCACCUCGAUGUCGGCUCAUCACAUCCUGGGGCUGAAGUAGGUCCCAAGGGUAUGGCUGUUCGCCAUUUAAAGUGGUACGCGAGCUGGGUUUAGAACGUCGUGAGACAGUUCGGUCCCUAUCUGCCGUGGGCGCUGGAGAACUGAGGGGGGCUGCUCCUAGUACGAGAGGACCGGAGUGGACGCAUCACUGGUGUUCGGGUUGUCAUGCCAAUGGCACUGCCCGGUAGCUAAAUGCGGAAGAGAUAAGUGCUGAAAG